This 1055-nucleotide ribosomal RNA is filed under the name Candidatus Nomurabacteria bacterium RIFOXYA2_FULL_42_12. Its description in RNAcentral is "bacterial SSU rRNA". The stretch from base 1 to 787 matches the Rfam family "Bacterial small subunit ribosomal RNA". The record is from RNAcentral. RNAcentral also lists the same sequence under 5 other names. Lineage: Bacteria; Candidatus Nomuraibacteriota.
AUAACGGUGGAAUCUGCCGAAAGGCAGACAAUACCGUGGGAAGUUCCACUUUACUUAAGUAAAGUGGAACCCCGUAACGACUCUUUGUAAGGAAACGAAGGAGUUAUCGCAACGCAAUUAAGAGCUAAAGCGGUAGCUAACAUGUUGGCCCCGAAAUAACUCUCUACAAGAUUAUUUCGGGUGAAGGUAUAGUCUGAUACUCUGAGUGAUCGGAGAAAACACUAUGACGGUCCAUACACCUACGGGUGGCUGCAGCCGAGAAUAUUCGACAAUGGGCGAAAGCCUGAUCGAGCGACGCCGCGUGCGGGAUGAAGUCCUUCGGGAUGUAAACCGCUUUUGUAGACUAGAAAGUUUAUUGAUCAGUCUAAGAAUAAGAGGUUACUAAACUCGUGCCAGCAGUAGCGGUAAUACGAGUGCCUCAAGCGUUAUCCGGAAUUAUUGGGCGUAAAGGGUGUGUAGGCGGUCUUGUUAGUCUUCUGUCAAAUUCUUCGGCUUAACCGGGGGCUCGCAGAAGAAACGGCAAGACUUGAGGGUGCGAGAGGUUUGCGGAACUCAUGGUGUAGGGGUGAAAUCCGUUGAUAUCAUGGGGAACACCGAAAGCGAAGGCAGCAAACUGGCGCAUUCCUGACGCUGAAACACGAAAGCGUGGGUAGCGAAUGGGAUUGACGCUCGCAGUACAUGCUUUUUUAAGCAGAAUGCUUCGGCAAAAGAAAAUCAUAGUCGGUUCACAACGAGAAAUGAAAAACUCGCAGACUCAAACAGUUUCAUUUCUCUGUUCACCUCCUCGAUUUUCAUUUUGCCUCCCGCAAUGCUUAAAAAAGCAUGUACUGCUCGCUUUAUGUUGGAAAGAAAAACAACAGAAAGCGGAACGUAGGGGUACGUUGAGCACUAGUCCCCCCGUGAAGCGGAAGCGUUUUACGGGGAUAACCUAGCUAUAUGCUGGAAAACCCGAGUAUCUGGGAGUACUUCGUGAGUACGAAGUGAAAAUCUCUCCAGUGCGGGCAAUCAGCAGGAAAGGAUUAAUGAAAUAUGUCCUAGAGUAUGAAGCCUCUUGC